RNAcentral lists this ribosomal RNA (253 nucleotides) under uncultured bacterium. RNAcentral's name for it is "partial 16S ribosomal RNA". It matches the Rfam family "Bacterial small subunit ribosomal RNA", at positions 524 to 776 of the family's 1533-position model. The record is from RNAcentral.
UACGGGGGGGGCUAGCGUUGUUCGGAAUUACUGGGCGUAAAGGGCGCGUAGGCGGUCUGCUAAGUUGGAUGUGAAAACUCUGGGCUUAACCCAGAGCCUGCAUUCAAUACUGACAGGCUAGAGUUCUGGAGGGGAUAGCGGAAUUCCUGGUGUAGCGGUGAAAUGCGUAGAUAUCAGGAGGAACGCCGGUGGCGAAAGCGACGUGCUGGACACCUUCUGACGCUGAGGCGCGAAAGCCAGGGGAGCAAACGGG